UUGGAGGGCAAGUCUGGUGCCCGCAGCCGCGGUAAUUCCAGCUCCAAUAGCGUAUAUUAAAGUUGUUGCAGUUAAAGAGCUCGUAGUUGAAUUUCGGGAUCAGAGUGUCGGUCGUGCCUCGGUACGCACUGGUAUUAUUGGUUCCUACCUUCUGAAGAACCGCGAUGUCGUUAAUUUGGUGUCGUGGGGAAUCAGGACUGUUACUUUGAAAAAAUUAGAGUGUUUAAAGCAGGCUUACGCUUGAAUACAUUAGCAUGGAAUAAUGAAAUAGGACGUUUGAUUCUAUUUUGCUGGUUUCUAGGAUUGACGUAAUGAUUAAUAGGGAUAGUCGGGGGCAUUAGUAUUCAAUUGUCAGAGGUGAAAUUCUUGGAUUUAUUGAAGACUAACUACUGCGAAAGCAUUUGCCAAGGAUGUUUUCAUUAAUCAAGAACGAAAGUUAGGGGAUCGAAGACGAUCAGAUACCGUCGUAGUCUUAACCAUAAACUAUGCCGACUAGGAAUCAGACGAUGUUAAUUUUUUAAUGACUCGUUUGGCACCUUACGGGAAACCAAAGUGUUUGGGUUC
RNAcentral lists this ribosomal RNA (564 nucleotides) under uncultured Glomeromycotina. RNAcentral's name for it is "SSU rRNA". It matches the Rfam family "Eukaryotic small subunit ribosomal RNA", at positions 548 to 1114 of the family's 1831-position model. Lineage: Eukaryota; Fungi; Glomeromycota. The record is from RNAcentral.